Long non-coding RNA from Engraulis encrasicolus (European anchovy), 378 nucleotides. RefSeq lists it as uncharacterized. The record is from RefSeq and is a predicted model, not a curated record. The transcript is spliced from 3 exons. Lineage: Eukaryota; Metazoa; Chordata; Actinopteri; Clupeiformes; Engraulidae.
CCCCUGAAGCUCUCGGAACUCCAGCACUUCCAGGAAAUCACGCACCACGCCAGCGUCAGGCACCACAUAGGACGGGUGGUGCCGGUGGUGAUGUCACAUCAUAUUAAGAAGUAAAAGGAUGGAAAGAACAAAACUGGAAUUCUAAUGAGGAACCUGAACAAGACGAGCGACUGAGUCAGUCGGCCAGGUCAGCUGCACGUGUGGAGUCGAGACCAAUAGGAGAUUAUUGCCAGAACAGAGAAGAGGAGAGGAGAACAAAGCAGCAGCCGUGUUCAUGUAACGCAGCAAUGCAGCAUAGGUACUUAGAGUGGUGAGAACAGCCGUGUUCAUGUUCUGCUAUAGGGGAGAUGUGUUUACAUCAGUGCAGGAGCUUCAGAG